Molecule: unclassified non-coding RNA, 334 nt
Filed under: soil metagenome
Description: partial contains 5.8S ribosomal RNA, internal transcribed spacer 2, and large subunit ribosomal RNA
Rfam family: 5.8S ribosomal RNA (bases 1-120)
Source: RNAcentral
GAUGAAGAACGCAGCGAAAUGCGAUAAGUAAUGUGAAUUGCAGAAUUCAGUGAAUCAUCGAAUCUUUGAACGCACAUUGCGCCCGCCAGUAUUCUGGCGGCCAUGCCUGUUCGAGCGUCAUUUCAACCAUCAAGCCCCGGGCUUGUGUUGGGGACCUGCGGCUGCCGCAGGCCCUGAAAUGCAGUGGCGGGCUCGCUGUCACUCCGAGCGUAGUAGUUACAUCUCGCUCUGGGCGUGCUGCGGGUUCCGGCCGUUAAAAGCCUUAUUUACCCAAGGUUGACCUCGGAUCAGGUAGGAAGACCCGCUGAACUUAAGCAUAUCAAUAAGCGGAGGA